AGCGGCCAGAGCCCAAGAUGGUAAUCUCCAUGCUGCGCAUGGGCGAAUUGUAAUCUAGAGAGUUCAUGCUCAAACGGAGGUGGCGUCGAAGUAGCUGGAAUGCUACGCCAGAGAGGGUGACAGCCCCGUAUGUGGUGCCGCCUCCAAACGAGCAGGGCUUCGAAGAGUCGGGUUGUUUUGUAUUGCAGCCCUAAGUGGGAGAUAAACUUCUUCUAAGGCUAAAUAUAUGUGGGAAACCGAUAGCGAACAAGUACUGUGAAGGAAAGAUGAAAAGCACUUUGGAAAGAGAGUCAAAAGACCUGAAACCGUUGAGGAGGAAGCGGUAGAGAUGAAUUCUACGGCAGUUAGCGGGGAAACCAGCCUAAAGAUGUGGGGCGUAGGAUACGUCAAAGGUCCUUGUUCUAUUUUCUGGAAGCUGGCUAUUUGCUGAGUGUCGUGAGGCCGGAUGGGGUGACGUGACCGCAGAGGCCUAGCAGGCUUGGACCUUUCGGGGUCAGCCUGCUGGUGUCGGUGGCUGCGUGGCCUGAGGGUGCCUUGUGCGAUCCGGUCAAAAUGGUCUUUACCGACUCGUCUUGAAACACGAACCAAGGAGUCUAACGUACACGCGAGUGUGCCGGUGGAGAAACCGUCACGCGGAAUGAAAGUGAGUGAUGCCAAGCGCAAGCAGCAGCAUCGGCCGACCAUGAUCCUCUGGAGAAAGGUUUGAGUAUGAGCGUGUCCGCUAGGACCCGAAAGAUGGUGAACUAUGCCUGCGUAGGGUGAAGCCAGGG
This 770-nucleotide ribosomal RNA is filed under the name Strombidium chlorophilum. RNAcentral's name for it is "partial large subunit ribosomal RNA". It matches the Rfam family "Eukaryotic large subunit ribosomal RNA", at positions 97 to 857 of the family's 3401-position model. The record is from RNAcentral. Lineage: Eukaryota; Ciliophora; Spirotrichea; Strombidiidae.